UACGUAGGGGGCGAGCGUUGUCCGGAUUUAUUGGGCGUAAAGAGCUCGUAGGCGGUUUGGCAAGUCGGGUGUGAAAACUCCGGGCUCAACUCGGAGACGCCACUCGAUACUGCCAUGACUCGAGUCCGGUAGGGGAGUGCGGAAUUCCUGGUGUAGCGGUGAAAUGCGUAGAUAUCAGGAGGAACACCUGCGGUGUAGACGGCUUACUGGACCAUAACUGACGCUGAGGCACGAAAGCGUGGGUAGCAAACAGG
This 254-nucleotide ribosomal RNA is filed under the name uncultured bacterium. RNAcentral describes it as "partial 16S ribosomal RNA". It matches the Rfam family "Bacterial small subunit ribosomal RNA", at positions 524 to 776 of the family's 1533-position model. The record is from RNAcentral.